RNAcentral lists this long non-coding RNA (250 nucleotides) under Lathyrus oleraceus (garden pea). RNAcentral describes it as "Pisum sativum (pea) long non-coding RNA (PSAT_LNC032279)". Lineage: Eukaryota; Viridiplantae; Streptophyta; Magnoliopsida; Fabales; Fabaceae. The record is from RNAcentral.
GAAAUUAACUUGCAAGAAAGUAGAAGUUAGAAGUUAGCAUUGCAUGAUGUAAUGUUAGAAGUUAGGUUAAAAGAACAAUCACUUGAGGAUCAUCUAUCAAUAAAUCAAAGGACCCGAACAUAUGCUUCUCCAAGGGAUAACCUAUCAUCAACUCUCAAAGUGUCAAAAAUGAUAAAUGGAUCAUUUAUCAAUAUGUUUGAAUUGAAGAAGAUUGAAUCAACCUAGGAUAUUCAUCUAUGGAUGAUUUGAG